AGUGAACGCUGGCGGUAGGCCUAACACAUGCAAGUCGAACGGCAGCACAGUAAGGGCUUGCUCUUACGGGUGGCGAGUGGCGGACGGGUGAGGAAUACAUCGGAAUCUACUUUUUCGUGGGGGAUAACGUAGGGAAACUUACGCUAAUACCGCAUACGACCUACGGGUGAAAGCAGGGGAUCUUCGGACCUUGCGCGAUUGAAUGAGCCGAUGUCGGAUUAGCUAGUUGGCGGGGUAAAGGCCCACCAAGGCGACGAUCCGUAGCUGGUCUGAGAGGAUGAACAGCCAAAAUGGGACUGAGACACCGGCCAGACUCCUACGGGAGGCAGCAGUUGGGAAUAUUGGACAAUGGGCGCAAGCCUGAUCCAGCCAUACCGCGUGGGUGAAGAAGGCCUUCGUGUUGUAAAGCCCUUUUGUUGGGAAAGAAAAGCAGCAGGUUAAUACCCCGCUGUUCUGACGGUACCCAAAGAAUAAGCACCGGCUAACUUCGUG
RNAcentral lists this ribosomal RNA (492 nucleotides) under uncultured bacterium. RNAcentral's name for it is "partial 16S ribosomal RNA". It matches the Rfam family "Bacterial small subunit ribosomal RNA", at positions 29 to 507 of the family's 1533-position model. The record is from RNAcentral.